Molecule: non-coding RNA, 1770 nt
Organism: Hydra vulgaris (swiftwater hydra)
Lineage: Eukaryota; Metazoa; Cnidaria; Hydrozoa; Anthoathecata; Hydridae
Source: RefSeq, a predicted model, not a curated record
CAGAAUAGAACGUAGAACAUUUAUUUAUGUGAUGACGACAGUUUUCUCAUGAAUUGAAAAGAUGAAAUGCUUAAUGAAGAAAUUUUUGAUUGGUGUUUAACGUCAAAGUAAUUGCUCUUAAUCUACCUCUUACAAUAAAUCUUCAGCUCUGCUGCUAUGAAAACAAUUAGAAACAAAUAUAGUUUGAUUAUGUGAUAAUAUCAGAAAGUUAAAGAAAUAAUGCAAAAAUAAAAAAUUGCAUUUGUUAUUAGGUGAAGCCUUAAUUCUAUCUCUGGCAAAUAUUCAUUAUAAUAAAUUAACUACCUCAAUGAAAACAAUAUCAGUAAUCUUUUAAGUUUUGAAGAAGUUACAACAUAAUAUACUAUAACCAAUAUUUUGAAAAGAAGAGAACCAAGAAAUUUAUAAGUUAGUUUAUAUGUUAGAUGAUGAGGAAGUAAUAACUUUUGAAGAUGGAAGAUAAUGUGAUAACAUUCGGGAAAGCAUUUUGAAGAUGGAAGAUGUGAUAACAUUCGGGAAAGCAUUUUGAAGAUGGAAGAUAAUGAGAUAACAUUCGGGAAAGCAUUUUUAAAGCAUGACUAGUGUCAACAAUAUCAUUAAAGUGUAAUUUCUAAAGUACUAAAUUUGCUGUAAAAUGCAGGUUAAUACAGGAAGCUGCAAAUUGAGGUCAGUUUUAAGCUGGUGAAGCAAUACUCAAAAAGAAAACUAACAGAUAAAAAAAUCUCAUGUUGGCAAUCGUUUGCAUGGUAAUGAUACUUUGAAAUACCAUAAGUAUCAAAACUUUUAAAUUGCAACAAAAAGUAGGAAAAUAUAAUCUUUUGGUUUGUCAAAAGUGGUUGGUGGUGAUGCAGCUACUAUCUUGCAGAACUUUACUAAUGUAAUAUAUAAUAUUUGUAACAUUGUAAGCAACUCUGCCAUGGAAAAUGAACUAAAUUUUGCUUAGUUAAUUACAUCAAUUAAAUCGACAAUGGCUGACCUUGGUUGAGUUAAUGUUCUAUUAAACUCACUAUUAAAAGCAUUAAGUGAAAAACUUCUGCCAAUUGCAAUCAAAAAUUGGGAUAAAUCGUUUGAGAUAAAUCGUUUUAAUGUUUUGUAUUACUACUCUAUGUUAUCACAAGGAUGCUAUAAUAAUGUAAUGUGUGGCCAAACCAAACAACUCAUUAAAGGCUAUAAAGGUAUUGACUAUAAAGAUAUCACAAAUCUUGUAGUUGUUGCUGAAGUUUGCGCAUUAGGAAUCAUUGAAAAACUACUUACAGGUUCUUUGUGUUGAAUUAUUUCAAACAACUAUUUGUAAAGAUGCUUCUUUAUUGCUUGCAUGUGGAAAAAUUUUUGAUUAUACUCAUCUUCUUCAUCAAAAUAAGGUUUACUGCAAAUUGUUUGAAAACAAACAUAAUGAUGAGUUUGAUUCUUUGACUGUGUACUCCCUUGAAGUUAUUUUUCAUGCUAUUCUUGCUAUUUUGGAAUGUCAGUUAUCUGGUGGUAAAUAUUGGAAUCCAUCUGAUUCAGUUGCUGAAACAGCCUCUAAUGACCCUGUUACUAAUAAAGCAUCAGAAAGUGACUUUUCCAUUUUGGAUUUAAUGAUUUGUAAAAAACCAAAUGCAAAUUUCAAACUAUCCAGACUUAACAUACCACAUAUCAUGUUAAGUAUGAUUACGAACAUGAUGAACUAUGGUCAUUUCCAUUAUUAGUUAAUUUUGAAAAAGGCAAGUUUAUUCUUUGUAGCUAGGAUUAUGAGGUGCCCCAAGAAGACUUGACGGUCUUGUCACAGAGCGG